UACGUAGGGGGCAAGCGUUGUUCGGAAUUACUGGGCGUAAAGGGCGCGUAGGCGGCAUGGCAAGUCAGGAGUGAAAGGCCUGGGCUCAACCGAGGAACUGCUUUUGAUACUGCCAAGCUAGAGUGCGGAAGGGGCAACUGGAAUUCCCAGUGUAGCGGUGAAAUGCGUAGAUAUUGGGAAGAACACCUGAGGCGAAGGCGGGUUGCUGGGCCGACACUGACGCUGAGGCGCGAAAGCGUGGGGAGCAAACAGG
RNAcentral lists this ribosomal RNA (253 nucleotides) under uncultured bacterium. RNAcentral describes it as "partial 16S ribosomal RNA". It matches the Rfam family "Bacterial small subunit ribosomal RNA", at positions 524 to 776 of the family's 1533-position model. The record is from RNAcentral.